This 498-nucleotide long non-coding RNA is filed under the name Aquilegia coerulea. RNAcentral's name for it is "long non-coding RNA (ACOE_LNC000273)". Lineage: Eukaryota; Viridiplantae; Streptophyta; Magnoliopsida; Ranunculales; Ranunculaceae. The record is from RNAcentral.
UGAAAGGGAAGGAUUAGUUGUUGAGGAUGAGUUAGGUUUUGAUGUGGUACAAGAAGGUAUUGAAGUGGAUAUGUCCCAACAAAACCAGAUGGCUGCAGUGAGAGAUGUUAUUGCAAAUGAGAUAUGGGAUGACUACAAUCGUCGUUGAUUUUUUUAUGUACUAUAGGAUGUUGAAUUUGUAACACGAUGAAUUGUAGUUUGUUACAACCUUUUUAUGUACUACAGGAUGUUGAAUUUGUAAUACGAUGAAUUGUAGUUUGUUACAACCUAUUUACGUACUACAGGAUGUUGAAUUUGUAAUACGGUGAAUUGUAGUUUGUUACAACCUAUUUCGUGGAGGACAUGUAUAUUAUUAAAUAUAUUCUUUUUAUUAUGUUUAUAUUGUUGUUUUGGUUUGAAAAAAUGAUUUGUACAAUUUAUUUAAUGGAAUCUCGCUCAAGUUUGUUAUAUGUCUUUUACGUUCAAGCUUGUGUAAUUCUUUGAGUUUAUCAAUAAAAG